GCGACUUCGUGUGCACAGUGUCAGUCUGUGUCUGGCGGGGCAGAGUGUUGGCGCGCUGCCCACUCUCCACUCACACAAAUCCUGCAGCUGGAGAUGAACAUGAGAUCAUAGUACUGCUCCGGUGCCCGUCUGUUGGACGCUUCCCCCCCGUCUGCUGUCCGCCAUUGAUCUGCCGUGCUGGUUCCAGGUAUCA
Small nucleolar RNA from Rana temporaria (common frog), 193 nucleotides. RefSeq annotates it as small nucleolar RNA SNORA23. NCBI's taxonomy places the organism in Eukaryota, Metazoa, Chordata, Amphibia, Anura, Ranidae. The record is from RefSeq and is a predicted model, not a curated record. The transcript has a single exon.